AGUACAACAAGUUCUCUUCUCUGCAAUAUUGGCCUCCACGUUCCAUUUACAGAACAAGGAAGAACAAAGCAUAAGCUAGCUGUGGUGGUUAAAUCUGGACAAACGUGAUCCCGGAGAACCUUCCAGAGGAAUGAACCUGGCCAUUUCCACACCUGCAUGAUAAUCACUUUCACCAUUUCCAGUAGGAUACAGGGAAGCUGUUUAUGGGUCUCAAGAAGCACCUGCCCUAGAAGUGGCUUACAAUCCAGUGGGGGAGACAGACAGUGCCCAGAUCAUGGAGGGGAAGGAAGAAGGUCAGGAAUGUUCUCUACCUGCAGGAAUACAUGAUAAAGCUGCAUGAAGGUGCCACAUAUAAGUCACAUUCUAGUAUCUGAAUCAUCUCCUGAAGCCGUAUUCCGAGGUGGUAUUUCUUAGUGGACCGAAGAGGUCAAUGAGUGCCCAGAGGCAAGAGGACAGGCGUUUCAGGGAGAAAAACAUUGGGAGAUGAAUGUUCUACGUAUUGGUUUUGAUGUUUUAAAUCCAUUUACU
Molecule: long non-coding RNA, 528 nt
Organism: Eptesicus fuscus (big brown bat)
Lineage: Eukaryota; Metazoa; Chordata; Mammalia; Chiroptera; Vespertilionidae
Exons: 4
Source: RefSeq, a predicted model, not a curated record